RNAcentral lists this transfer RNA (76 nucleotides) under Bacillota bacterium. RNAcentral describes it as "tRNA-Glu". It matches the Rfam family "tRNA". Rfam says of the family: Transfer RNA (tRNA) molecules are approximately 80 nucleotides in length. Their secondary structure includes four short double-helical elements and three loops (D, anti-codon, and T loops). Lineage: Bacteria; Bacillati; Bacillota. The record is from RNAcentral.
GGCCCCGUUGUCUAGCGGUCUAGGACGCCGCCCUCUCACGGCGGUAGCAGGGGUUCGAAUCCCCUCGGGGCUACCA